CCUACGGUAGGCAGCAGUGGGGAAUAUUUGGCAAUGGGCGCAAGCCUGACCCAGCAACGCCGCGUGAAGGAAUAAGGCUUUCGGGUUGUAAACUUCUUUUGUCAGGGACGAAGCAAGUGACGAUACUUGACGAAUAAGCCACGGCUGACUACGUGCCAGCAGCCGCGGUAAUACGUCGGUGGCAUGCGUUAUUCGUCUGUACUGGGUGUAAAGGGCGUGUAGGCGGGACUGCACGUCAGAGGUGAAAAGCACGGGCUCAACCCGUGGCCGUCAUUUGAAACUGCAGUUAUUGAGUAAUGGAGAGGGAGACGGAAUUCCUAGUGUAGCGGUGAAAUGCGUAGAGAGUAGGAGGAACACGAGUGGCGAAGGCGGUUUGCUGGACAGUAACUGACGCUGAGGCGCGAAAGCGAGGGGAGCAAACAGGAUUAGAUACCCUUGUAGUC
RNAcentral lists this ribosomal RNA (443 nucleotides) under uncultured bacterium. RNAcentral describes it as "partial 16S ribosomal RNA". It matches the Rfam family "Bacterial small subunit ribosomal RNA", at positions 338 to 795 of the family's 1533-position model. The record is from RNAcentral.